RNAcentral lists this ribosomal RNA (609 nucleotides) under Pichia sp. RNAcentral's name for it is "partial large subunit ribosomal RNA". It matches the Rfam family "Eukaryotic large subunit ribosomal RNA", at positions 45 to 659 of the family's 3401-position model. Lineage: Eukaryota; Fungi; Ascomycota; Pichiomycetes; Pichiales; Pichiaceae. The record is from RNAcentral.
CCAAAGCGGAGGAAAAGAAACCAACAGGGAUUGCCUCAGUAGCGGCGAGUGAAGCGGCAAGAGCUCAGAUUUGAAAUCGCAGCACCAUGCUGCGAGUUGUAGAUUGCAGGUGGGAGAGUCUGCGUAGGCCGGUGUCGAAGUCCCUUGGAACAGGGCGCCACUGAGGGUGAGAGCCCCGUGCGAUGCCACGCUCUACGUUUUGUACUCCCCUCUGACGAGUCGAGUUGUUUGGGAAUGCAGCUCUAAGUGGGUGGUAAAUUCCAUCUAAGGCUAAAUACUGGCGAGAGACCGAUAGCGAACAAGUACUGUGAAGGAAAGAUGAAAAGCACUUUGAAAAGAGAGUGAAACAGCACGUGAAAUUGUUGAAAGGGAAGGGUAUUGGGCCCGACAUGGGAAUCGCGCACCGCUGCUCCUUGUGGGCGGCGCUCUGGGCUUUUCCUGGGCCAGCAUCGGUUCUUGCUGCAGGAGAAGGGGCUGUGGAAUGUGGCUGCCGCGCUUUGCCGGGGCAGUGUUAUAGCCACUGGGCCAGAUGCUGCGUGUGGGGACCGAGGACUGCGGCCGCAAGGUCUCGGAUGCUGGCACAACGGCGCAAUACCGCCCGUCUAAAAA